AAGAGAGCUGGCUGAGCGUGUAAACUAUUUAUAUGGAGGAAGGAAGUGGAAGAAGCUGGGAGGGAGAGGUGGUGCACUCUUCAAGGUUCCUGAACCCCUUAUUCCACCCACUGGGGCUCGAAUCAUGUCCCUUACUGAUGGCCUUUCCAAGAUGUCAAAGUCAGCACCAUCUGAUCAGUCGAGAAUCAAUUUGCUAGAUUCAAAAGAUGUAAUAGCAAAUAAAAU
This 225-nucleotide unclassified non-coding RNA is filed under the name Hevea brasiliensis (rubber tree). The record is from RNAcentral. Lineage: Eukaryota; Viridiplantae; Streptophyta; Magnoliopsida; Malpighiales; Euphorbiaceae.